UUGAACGCUGGCGGCAGGCCUAACACAUGCGAGUCGCGCGGAUGAAGGGAGCUUGCUCCUGGAUUCAGCGGCGGACGGGUGAGUAAUGCCUAGGAAUCUGCCUGGUAGUGGGGGAUAACGUCCGGAAACGGGCGCUAAUACCGCAUACGUCCUGAGGGAGAAAGUGGGGGAUCUUCGGACCUCACGCUAUCAGAUGAGCCUAGGUCGGAUUAGCUAGUUGGUGGGGUAAAGGCCUACCAAGGCGACGAUCCGUAACUGGUCUGAGAGGAUGAUCAGUCACACUGGAACUGAGACACGGUCCAGACUCCUACGGGAGGCAGCAGUGGGGAAUAUUGGACAAUGGGCGAAAGCCUGAUCCAGCCAUGCCGCGUGUGUGAAGAAGGUCUUCGGAUUGUAAAGCACUUUAAGUUGGGAGGAAGGGCAGUAAGUUAAUACCUUGCUGUUUUGACGUUACCAACAGAAUAAGCACCGGCUAACUUCGUG
RNAcentral lists this ribosomal RNA (483 nucleotides) under uncultured bacterium. RNAcentral describes it as "partial 16S ribosomal RNA". It matches the Rfam family "Bacterial small subunit ribosomal RNA", at positions 30 to 507 of the family's 1533-position model. The record is from RNAcentral.